UAGGGAAUCUUCGGCAAUGGGGGGAACCCUGACCGAGCAACGCCGCGUGAGUGAAGAAGGUUUUCGGAUCGUAAAGCUCUGUUGUUAAGGAAGAACGAGUGUGAGAAUGGAAAGUUCAUACUGUGACGGUACUUAACCAGAAAGGGACGGCUAACUACGUGCCAGCAGCCGCGGUAAUACGUAGGUCCCGAGCGUUGUCCGGAUUUAUUGGGCGUAAAGCGAGCGCAGGCGGUUAGAUAAGUCUGAAGUUAAAGGCAGUGGCUCAACCAUUGUAGGCUUUGGAAACUGUUUAACUUGAGUGCAGAAGGGGAGGGUGGAAUUCCAUGUGUAGCGGUGAAAUGCGUAGAUAUAUGGAGGAACACCGGUGGCGAAAGCGGCUCUCUGGUCUGUAACUGACGCUGAGGCUCGAAAGCGUGGGGAGCGAACAGG
Molecule: ribosomal RNA, 429 nt
Filed under: Bacteroidota bacterium
Lineage: Bacteria; Pseudomonadati; Bacteroidota
Description: Bacteroidetes bacterium partial 16S ribosomal RNA
Rfam family: Bacterial small subunit ribosomal RNA
Source: RNAcentral